GGGCGCGUAGAUUAGUAGUAGAUCGCCUGCCUCGCACGCAGGAGGUCAGGGGUUCAAUUCCCCUCGCGUCCACCA
Molecule: transfer RNA, 75 nt
Filed under: Candidatus Bathyarchaeota archaeon
Lineage: Archaea; Thermoproteati; Candidatus Bathyarchaeota
Also listed under: 1 other name
Description: tRNA-Ala
Rfam family: tRNA
About the family: Transfer RNA (tRNA) molecules are approximately 80 nucleotides in length. Their secondary structure includes four short double-helical elements and three loops (D, anti-codon, and T loops).
Source: RNAcentral